Molecule: long non-coding RNA, 2590 nt
Organism: Gambusia affinis (western mosquitofish)
Lineage: Eukaryota; Metazoa; Chordata; Actinopteri; Cyprinodontiformes; Poeciliidae
Exons: 8
Source: RefSeq, a predicted model, not a curated record
CAUUAUCAAUCAACCAAUUAAAGGACGUGAAGCCGCUACAGACGGUAAAGAGAGCCUGGUUCAGAGGAUUGAUUAAAACGAUUCGAGGAGCCGAGUGGCGGAGGCUGUGGGUGAGGGCGGCUCGGAGAGCGCAGCACCAAGGAGGAGCUUCGUGGGAAAGGCAGCGCUCGGUUAAGCUGCACUUCUUUCUGUAAACCGAAUGGCUACCAGGUGACGCGAGGGGACUUCUCAAAUAUGAAUCAAAGCAACACUUCAGUUAACCCGGCUUCCUCCAUCUGACCGCUGUCCCCUCGGUGAAGAAAGAGAGCAAGAGAGAGAGAGAGAGAGAAAAAGUGUGCAUGCUCACACAUCUUGAACAGAAUGAAGGGAAAAAAAAAAAAAGCUACAGUCUCACGUAUUGGGCCCCCGUCUCGGCUGGAAGAAUGCCGCUUCGCUUGAGAGGAAUAGGAUUACAAUUUGGACCAGUCCUGGGGCGGCGAGGAAGUUUGCCCUGCCUUUCAGCUUCAUUCUGUGCUCUAUGAAAGGAACACAAGAAAGGCACAAAUCCAGAGAACGGGGCUUUCUGAGGCCUAACGGAGGAUAGAAGAAGGGCGUUCUGCUGCUGAAAGAGGGAUUACCUUCAAACAACUGUGAGAUCUGGGAAAACACAGAAACAUACCACCUCUAACGCCUCGCCACAGCUGACAGCCUGAACCAAAAUCCCCAAGUUUGCUCCACUCAGCCGGACCGAUAAAGCUGCUGCCGUCCACCGAGUGCCUCGAUGAACAACAGGGACGACUGACCCCGGCAUGACCCUCAGUAAGUGGAGCCAGACUGCAGCAAGUAUUGCUAGCUUCCUCAGACAAUGACCUACAAACAGACAUUCAAACAGACUUGCAGCUGUGCUGAGGUCGCGUGGGAGGCACGCCGACAAUGAGCGAGCGACGGGGCAGGCCGUGUGCGUUCUGUACGUCCGCCAUGACUCAAGCUGACCUCCAGCUCUGGCUAAGGACUUGGAGAAUGAGGAUCCAGGAGAUGAAAGACGCGGCGGAUGUAAAACCCGGGGCUUUUGGACAUUCUGAACAAGAUUAUGUUUGCCCUUCUCUCCGUGCCCUCCUCUCUGCACCGUACUUCAAAUGCUCCUGCAGGAGACUGUGGAAUGUGCUUCACUUGUUAACUUUACUGCCGCUACUCCUUCAGAAAGGUCAAAAACUCAGAGAAGGGGCGGCGGCGGCGCAGCCUGCUUGUGAAUGAACUGGGACGACACUGGAAGAUUUUGACAUUUUCAUACCGGGUCACAGGCAUCCAGGCGAAUGAGGGAGCCGAACGCCGUGGUUUGGUGUCAGGCCCGUCGAAUCCAGGAGCAAGGAUUUCCUCACACACUCACAGGUCACACAGGGAGGAGGAAAUAUUAGUGGCUCUGCACAACAGACCACAACGCUUCAGGGCCACCAGUCGCUGUUUUGUCGUUGGUUCUUUCACUGUGAUGUGAAGCACUAACCGACUAACUAACACCACUGACCACAGAUCUGUAUUUAAAACAAUCCAUGGUAAAGAUCUAAUGUGUUAUAGUUAUAUAUUUGUAACAAUUUAGCUCGACUUAAAAACAAAUAUUAUUCCAUCCACAGAAAUCUUCAGGUUUUUCUUUUUCUUUUUAACCAUGCUUCCAUUUUUCAAAUCAUCAUAAAAAAUGGAAUAUUAUGCAGGGAGAAUUCAUUUAAAUUUUAUUCUAUCAAAUACAGAACUGUAAUAGAUGCUGUGAUGAAAACAAAGCAUCCAUUUAGUGUGAAGGUUUUAACCUGAGUGCAAAACAUGAAAAGCAGUUUUAAAACAAGGAUUUAUUCCAUUAAGGGAAAAAGGUUGCACAUUCCAACCUGGAUGGAUAUGUAAAACGUUUUUACAUAUCACCACCAACAUUGUAUCACUUCUAAUAACUGGUAGUGACUCUGAAACAGCCAUCAUGCAUUUGCAAUAAGAGUCUUUUAGGGCAACAUUUGUUCCAUUUUCAGCUGAUGUGAUUCUCUUUCAUGCUGCACUGUGAAACUAACCUGCCUGUUCAACCCCUCGCCUGAGGUGGUGCUGCAACAGGAACCACAGAGGAAAUUGACACAAAAACCUCAGAGGAAGACACUGAGUACGUCCUCCAUCUUCACAAAAUGUAAACACAAAAGCAGCUGUGUGAGUUUUUAGCAUUUCUCUUUUGUCUGUGGUAAAAAACCACGAGUCAUUUGUCCCACUAGCGCUGGACUAGUGUGUUUGUUUUGGUUGUUUUGGUUGCAUUUACCCAGAAUGCCCUGUGCUGUAGUCCACUUCCUGCUGGUGGAGCAGUCUCCACUCGGUUUGACGCUCACGUAUGCAUUCAAAAAGCACCAGAGCUCAUUUUAACUGAACUGAUACCUGGGUCUGUAGGUGGACCAGAGUUCGAUUCAUUCACACCUUCCAAAGCAAACAGAGUUCCAUUAAAGCGGAUUAAACAGGGCUGCUGUGAAUGAGCCCUUCCACCAGUUAGAAGGGAUGUUAAAAAACUCUUCCUUGCAGAAUUGUUUUAAUUCCAUAACCUAUCAAUAGAAUUUACAUCCAGACUUUGACUAUGCCACUCCAAUUUCCUGUU